This 1142-nucleotide ribosomal RNA is filed under the name uncultured eukaryote. Its description in RNAcentral is "partial Bacterial large subunit ribosomal RNA". It matches the Rfam family "Bacterial large subunit ribosomal RNA", at positions 829 to 1959 of the family's 2925-position model. The record is from RNAcentral.
CUAAUCAAACCGGGAGAUAGCUGGUUCUCCCCGAAAUCUAUUUAGGUAGAGCCUCGGACGAAUACUUACGGGGGUAGAGCACUGUUAAGGCUAGGGGGUCAUCCCGACUUACCAACCCUUUGCAAACUCCGAAUACCUGUGAGUACUAUCCGGGAGACACACGGCGGGUGCUAACGUCCGUCGUGAAGAGGGAAACAACCCAGACCGCCAGCUAAGGUCCCUAAAUAUUACUAAGUGGGAAACGAAGUGGGAAGGCUAAGACAGCUAGGAGGUUGGCUUAGAAGCAGCCAUCCUUUAAAGAAAGCGUAAUAGCUCACUGGUCGAGUCGGUCUGCGCGGAAGAUGUAACGGGGCUAAACUAUGCACCGAAGCUGCGGAUUCAGAAUUUAUUCUGAGUGGUAGGGGAGCGUUCUGUAAGCCGUUGAAGGUGUACCGGGAGGUAUGCUGGAGGUAUCAGAAGUGCGAAUGCUGACAUGAGUAACGAUAAGGGGAGUGAAAAACUCCCCCGCCGGAAGACCAAGGUUUCCUGUCCCAUGCUAAUCAGGGCAGGGUAAGUCGGCCCCUAAGGCGAGGCAGAAAUGCGUAGUCGAUGGGAAACGGAUUAAUAUUUCCGUACUUGGUAUAUCAGUGAAGGGGGGACGGAGAAGGUUAUGCAAGCCUGGCGUUGGUUGUCCAGGUGAAAGUGCGUAGAGUUGUUUCUUAGGCAAAUCCGGGAAACUACAUGCUCGAGACACGAGACGAGACUCUAAGGAGUUGAAGUUGCAAAUACCAUGCUUCCAGGAAAAGCCUCUAAACUUAUGAUAUAUCGAACCGUACCCCAAACCGACACAGGUGGUCAGGUAGAGAAUACUAAGGCGCUUGAGAGAACUUGGGUGAAGGAACUCGGCAAAAUCGUACCGUAACUUCGGGAGAAGGUACGCCUCUGUUUGUGAUUGAACUUGCUUCAUGAGCGAAUGGGGGCCGCAGUGAAAAGGUGGCUGGAACUGUUUAUUAAAAACACAGCACUGUGCUAAAUCGAAAGAUGACGUAUACGGUGUGACGCCUGCCCGGUGCCGGAAGGUUAAUUGAUGGGGUUAUCUUCGGAGAAGCUCUUGAUCGAAGCCCCGGUAAACGGCGGCCGUAACAAUAACGGUCCUAAGGUAG